UAUGGCAAAAGUGGAAUGAAAAUAAGGUGUUGGAGAUAAUGGAUUCGACGUUGGCCGAGUCAUAUAAUAUACAAGAAUUGAUGAGAUGCAUCCAUAUAGGGCUUCUUUGUGUGCAAGACCAUGCCCAUGAUAGGCCAACCAUGUCUGCAAUAGUUUUCAUGCUUGGUAGUGAGGGAACUCUUCCUCUUCCGAAGCAACCUAUGUUUGCUAUAGACAAGACACAGUUGUCUGGCGUUCUAUCUAAUAGCAAUGAUGCAAUAUCUAUAAAUUCUGUUACCAUCACAAAUCUCGAAGGACGAUAACUUAUUGAGUGGUGUGGAAUAUUCUUCAGAUGAAAGCAAUGUGUUAUGACAACUAGUCUGUUGGAAAUCAAUAUAAGGGUCUUACUUGUACAUUCUCAAAUUAUAUAAUGUAUUUAAAUUCGGAAAAGCAAGUUUCAUUUAAAUUAUCACAUACAUAAUCAAACUUCUUGUUGAAGAUCCCACUGAUGAGACCUAGCUCGUGCGCCGGCAUGUGAAGAUUUAAGGCACAUGUAUUUUUGUGCAAGAACCACUUAUUCUUUGAACGCCCAAGGACUCAAUUCAAGGCUGUUGUCCUGCUCAUAUCUAGCUAGUACUCAGAAUAGAUGCAGAUUUUAAUGUCACAAAACUGGUCCGGUGACUUUUGCUCUCUGGCCUCUUCUACCAAAGUUUAGCACAGGAAUGAGUGCAGGUUCAAUUACCUAGAGACGGCAGUGCUGUUGCAGUCCUGUAGCUUGAGAGAUGUACACUGUACUGUUACUUAUUUUAGUAACUUCGGCGCAUGUAGCAAAGAAACUAAGAAAGGUAUCCAUUUCCAUUUUAUCCCAUUUGCUUAUUAUUAUUGCUUUCGUUACUAUUAUUAUUUGCAUGAAAUUGCUGUGAUUGCAAAUAAUCAACAAACAUUAUUGUUAUUGUCAUCUUGCUCAUCUCCAAUGCUAAAAUAUGCACAAGUUGACAUAAGAAAAAUAAAAAAAGCAAUGUCCUUUCUGUUGUUUGUUUUUCUCUCCUGCUCCUCACAGCCUACCUCCUUUCUAUGCGACGAAUUGAAUGGUUUAUUCCUAUUUUUCCCCUAAUGUAAAUGCAAACAUGUAUAUUGGGAAGAAUAUCUCCAUUAGAACUGUAGCUUUACAAAAGGGGUAUGGGAAGAACUGUUAACUGUCAAAACUGCUGCUAUGGAGGCCCUUCAGUCAUGGAGUACUGCAAGAGAGAUGCUCGAAAGCUGGACAGACCUGAAUUCGAGACGGGUGGCACAUGCUAUAUAGAAAAUUUUACCUUAUGCUCUUUUGUGGUGCACAUGGAAGAUGAGAAAUGAAGCAGUUUUUAAUGGGGUAAUAGUGAACAGAAACAAACUAAUCAGGCACGUCAAGGGCACAAUUUGGUUAUGGCUUAAUAUUAGAAAGAAAAGUCUGGAGUGCAGGCAGGAUAUUUCCUUCAGAGAACUGCUGUUGGACUGGGAAGGGAUUAUGGCAGAACAGUGGUGAAGCAUUCUUACAUGUAUAUGGAAAAUUUUACCUUAUGCUCUUUUGUGGUGCACAUGGAAGAUAGAAAUGAAGCAGUUUUUAAUGGGGUAAUAGUGAACAGAAACAAACUAAUCAGGCACGUCAAGGGCACAAUUUGGUUAUGGCUUAAUAUUAGAAAGAAAAGUCUGGAGUGCAGGCAGGAUAUUUCCUUCAGAGAACUGCUGUUGGACUGGGAAGGGAUUAUGGCAGAACAGUGGUGAAGCAUUCUUACAUGUAUGGGUCACUGCAGGCUGGUGUAUGGAUGUUUAUACUAGGUUACAUUCAUUUGUAGUUUUCUAUGUAAAGUUGGGAGUUUCAAGCCUAUGAAUAGGCCUUGUGUAAGAGGUGCAUGUAUUUUCUGGGAUACCUGGUGAUGCUCGGAUUAGGAGUGUGGUGCUCAGGAAAAAUGAUUGAGGAUGUGCUGAACUGCUGAACAGGUGGUCCAGGGUUAUGCAUGAACAGGGAAUCAGGGAUAGCUGGUGGUUUUAUGUUUGUAUGGCUGCGGGUUUCUGUAAGAGUAUCCUGAUCUGUUUGCCUGGCCUGAGUCUGUUAAGUCCUUUGUGUUGUCUGUAUGCUGCAGUAGCAAGGUGUCUGUAAGUCUGGUCUGGGAUAUCGCUCCCAUGGUCUUUCACCUGACGAUAUACAGUGUUUUGUAUAUACUGAUCAGGUUUGUAUCAGAUUUUAUUUGGUUGAUUAAUAAAUUCAUACUUUUAUCAAAAAAACAAAAAAAAUCUCCAUUAGAAAAGUUUAAUGACCACUAGAAGAUUGUGUGCUAUGAAGUUGUAACUCUUGAUAAAUUGGUCCCAAAGUCUGUAGUAGUUACUAUCAUAUGACCUUGCACAGCCUCAUAAGGCUAUGAAGGUUUAGUUUGGAACCAAUGUUUUACAGCUAUUUAUAUGUAAAAUGAAUUUGUAUACCAUAGAAUUGUUUCCUUAAGAUAAAACUGCAUUACUGUUUGUAAGAAAAAAAAAGGUUCUUACAAUAAAAAAAUCUUGGAAAUCCUUUAUAUCAAUUAAGAUAUUCUGAAGUCUGUGAAACCGACAUUUGGUUUCAUGGUUUGACAUCAUUUCAUGUUUGUGUCAUCGGCUAUCUCGCUCGGACUUCAUUGUUAGGUUGAACCUUGGUAUGUGUCUCAUUCCUUAUUCUUUUCUCUAUCAUCUUGUGUCUUAGGUUGCUUAGUUUUUCAAUCUGUCAAGAUUUGGUUCGGACGUAACACUUUGGUUCAGACGAAAUUCUUCCAGAUCUUUUAUUUGUGCAGAAACUGGUAUUUGGUUCGGACGAAACCUUUAGGUUCGAACGAAAUUCUUCUAGCAAGUUGUUUCGUCCUUUGGACUUGUUUUUAGUUCUAGAAUCCAUAUAAAUAGGUUUUCUCUCAUUAGAAAACCUAACUCUCUAGCCAUCUCUUCCUCUAUUGAGAGUGUUUGUUUGUUAAGGGAAAAACUCAUCUUCUUCUUCUCAAUCUUCUUCUUCUUGAUUCUUUCUUCUCUCAUUAUAAUCCAUAUUUCUUUGUGAGUGCAUAUUAGCUUCGCGAUCUCCUUGUGUGACUGUGUGACUAUCAAGAGAUACUAAAGGAGCAAUCUAUACUUUGUACACUUUGAGAUCUUUGUGUGUACAUCAAGGUUCUCCGAUGAAAUCCACGGGUGUUAGAGAUAGCCGGUAUUGUCAAGUAGCAGGUGUAUGCAGUAGUACUUGAUAGGUUUGUAAUCUCUUGCAACAUAGUGGAUUGAUUUGUUACAGAUCGAGGUAACCGUGGACGUUUCCCAGUUUGGGUUUUACCACGUUAAAAUCUCUGGUGUUCUUUAUCAUUCUUCUUGUUUUAUUUACUGUUUAUUAUUCUAUUAUAUUGCACUUGUUUGGUGUUUCAAUUGGUAUCAGUCGCAGGGCGCUUGUUAUGGAGUGUAAUGGCUCACGCGUAGAUCCUUUAAGUGCAACAAUAAUGACUAAAGCUAAAUCUUCUUUCUCUCCAGAUAGAUUUUUUAAUAAUUCUAAUAAAUUUUGUUUUGAAGAUACUGUUGUUUUGCAGAAUAUGAUUGAUUCUUUAGAACAAAGACUCAGAUCUUGUGCAGAAGAUUACUUACUUCAAGGGGAAGUUUAUGAAUCUAAAAUUGAAAAAUUGGAAAAGGUUAAUCUUACUUUGCAGGAUAAAGUUGAGACUCUUGAAAAACAAAUUCUUUCUGCUGCAGAUGAUGCAAUUUCUAUUUCUCCAUUAUUUGAAAAAGAAAAACUUAAUUUGUUGUGUAGAAUUACAGAUCUGGAGAAAGCUAAUCAUGAAGGUGAAAAGAGAUAUAAAUCUCUUUUAGUUGAGUCUGAGGUAACAAAGAACGAUUUAACGUCUACUCAACUCAAAUUGCAGGUUUUGGACAAAACUAGAUUUGACUCUCCUAUUGUUGGUUCUAGUAGUCCAUCUGAUGUGAAUAUUUUUGUAAAAUCUAGUUUGCCCGCCCUAUUGCCUACACCACCUAUUGAGACUAGACUUAAUGCUAAUAAUUUUAAGCAUGUUUCGGGUAUAAAAUUUAAAUCCAAAUCUAUUGGUAAGGCUGGUUUUGAUGGUAAGUCUUCGUGUUCUCAUAGUGGAAGUAGCGGUCACAUUAAGGCACAAUGUCAUAAACCAAAUAGUGACAUACAUGGUUUACCCACUACUACUACUACAUCUUCUUAUAAGACUUGUUUGAGAAAGUCUAAUACUUUUCAUUGUUCUUAUUGUGGUAGAGAUGGUCAUUUGGAUAUCUUUUGUUGGGAUUUUAAUCAACAUGUUAAAUGUUAUUCUCGUGUUUCUUAUAAUUAUAAUCAUGUUGAUUUUUAUGUUCCUUCUUGUGCGUUUUCUAAACCUUUGAAUUCUAAUAUUUUUUGUCAAAGGUUUAAGAAAAACAGGUACUCCAACAAAAGGAAGUCAAAAACUAGGGUGGAGUUAGUUAAGGACAAGUCUCUUGCAAAGCUUAGUAAGAGGAAAUCUCAUAUCGUUUCUAUACCCAAAAUGAGUACGCCGAGUAUCAAACAAGUAUGGGUAAGAAAAGAUAGGUUGAAAGUUUUUCUAGACUUGCAAAAAUCUGGCGGUGUCCCAUUUUUGGGAUGAUGAGAUUUGUUUUCUAGCCUUGUAUUAUUUUAAUUGCAUAUUUUUUCACCAUAUAGGCUCUUUGUUGGUUGUUUUUGUCUUUCUGUUUAUGCAUGUUUGUUUUAAACAUAUCAAUAAAAAAUAGGGGUUGUUGGUCUUCUUUUCUAGUAUUUUUCUUCUCUAUUUUCUUUCAUUUAUUCCAUGUUUGUGUUGUUGGAUGCAUCUUUUCUGAGAUAUUGGUUAAAUUCAAUUGUCUUAAAUAAGUUCCAAUAUGUUUGGGCGUUUUUUCUUUCUGAACUCUAAGUAUGUUUUGGUAUGUAUCAUGCAUUUUUCCUCGCUUGUUUUCACAAUGCACAACAUGUUUGCAUUAUGGGAGUUUUUGUAAGCCACUUACAUAUUCUUUGAGCUCAUAAAUUUUUUCUCUCUUUUGAAUCUUUCAUGCUAUCUUGAGCUCUCUAUCUCUCUUUUGUUAAUGUUUAUCAUGUUGCUCGUAUUGUUGAACUUUCUUAUCUUCCUUCUUCAACUCUUGAUAGUGGUCAAUGACUCACUUAUCCCCAGCCGUCUUUAGAGCAUUAUCAGUUGGCUAAGAACCCGUUGGGGUUGUGAGGGUCAUGCUUUGACGGAUGCACUCAAGAGAUGUUAGUUCUUGUGUUGCACAUUAUCAUGGUAUUACACUUCUUGAGUUUGUGUUUGUCAAAAAGAUGUAGGCUACACCCUACCCUCGUGUAUAUGAAAAGAUGGAGGUAAUUAUCCCUCCCACACGGGAAUGACAUUGAAAAGAUGUGGACUACACUCCACCACAUGUGGCAAAAUGAAAUUCAGAGCGCAUGUUCUUUGUUUUUGUGUAAGGCAUUAAAAGUUUUUUCCUUUGCCUUUUAAUUAUAUUUUCUUUCGUUUGGAAGAUCAUAUCUAGAUUCUUUCAUUUGCCUUCUUCUCAUGGCGUUUGAGUUCGUUUCCUAAGUUCGUUUAUUAAUCGUUCAUCUCUUGUUAAUGGUUAUUUGUUCUAGGAGUUCCAAGGGUGUGUUCUAGUGGUGUACUUUCUCUCUCUCGUUAUGCAUUGCAUUCCAUAUUCACACACUGAGGUUGAGUUUAUGAUGCACUUCAAUUCUCUUAGUUGUUUAAUCUUUUGUUUAUCCUCCUAUAUUGCCUCUUAUUUUUUGUAUGGAUUGGGUUUGGCUAAUGUUUUGGAAUAUCAUGAUGUCUUCCUCUUCAUUGAUAUGGUACAUCGGUUAUUUUUUUUCUUUACCAUCUUGUUAAGGGUUGUGAAGUUGUUUUUAUUUAAAGAGUUUGUUUGUUAAGGUAUUUUCUUAUUGUCUCGUGGAUGGGUGUAAGUUCGUGGUUUACUUUAUCUUAAUUGGUAGAGUAUGUUUCUACUUUUGUUGGGUAUUUUGCUUCUUCUUAUGUUGUCAUGGAUUUGUUAUUCAUGGUAUGGUGUUUCUUUCGUUCUCUAGUUAGUUUGGUUUUUCACUUUUUGUCACCUAUUUGCAUCAUUUGUGACAAAAAGGGGGAGAGUUUAUAUGACUCUAAAAACUAACAUGCUUUUUUUUCUCCGUUAGUAUAUUUUGGGUUGUGUUUCAGGUGUGCUACACUUGUGGGGGAGAAAAAGAAUUGGAGUUUGGAGUUCAUGUGUUGAGGGGGAGUUGUUCAUAAAGGAUUAUCAUAUUAAAGCUUUCGUUGAUUCUCUGAUAUGGUUUCUUACUUAAAGCUUCCGCACUACCUCUGAUUGAUAAAAGUUUUGGGUUUGAUUUUCUACUUCAUCUCUUUGAUUGUUCAGUUGUCAUUGAAACUUAUGUUGGUGUUCUUGAAGAUUGGUUCUUGAAAGUUUUCAUGUUUGGUGAAGGUUUAAGUGUAAUGAUGUAAGCAUGAUCUAUAAAUGCUAGUGAGGUUUGUUUUGGAUUUUGUAAGCACGUAUUAUAAGUGCAUUUAGAGUCAUAGGUUAUUGUCACGAAAUGAAUGUCAAAUGGGGAGAUUGAAACCGACAUUUGGUUUCAUGGUUUGACAUCAUUUCGUGUUUGUGUCAUCGGCUAUCUCGCUCGGACUUCAUUGUUAGGUUGAACCUUGGUAUGUGUCUCAUUCCUUAUUCCUUUCUCUAUCAUCUUGUGUCUUAGGUUGCUUAGUUUUCAAUCUGUCAAGAUUUGGUUCGGACGUAACACUUUGGUUCAGACGAAAUUCUUCCAGAUAUUUUAUUUGUGCAGAAACUGGUAUUUGGUUCGGACGAAACCUUUAGGUUUGAACGAAAUUCUUCCAGCAAGUUGUUUCGUCCUUUGGACUUGUUUUUAGUUCUAGAGUCCAUAUAAAUAGGUUUUCUCUCAUUAGAAAACCUAACUCUCUAGCCGUCUCUUCCUCUAUUGAGAGUGUUUGUUUGUUAAGGGAAAAACUCAUCUUCUUCUUCUCAAUCUUCUUCUUCUUGAUUCUUUCUUCUCUCAUUAUAAUCCAUAUUUCUUUGUGAGUGCAUAUUGGCUUCGCGAUCUCCUUGUGUGACUGUGUGACUAUCAAGGGAUACUAAAGGAGCAAUCUAUACUUUGUACGCUUUGAGAUCUUUGUGUGUUCAUCAAGGUUCUUCGGUGAAAUCCAAGGGUGUUAGAGAUAGCCGGUAUUGUCAAGUAGCAAGUGUAUGCAGUAGUACUUGAUAGGUUUGUAAUCUCUUGCAAAUAGUGGAUUGAUUUGUUACCGAUCGAGGUAACCGUGGACGUUCCCAGUUUGGGUUUUACCACGUUAAAAUCUCGGUGUUCUUUAUCAUUCUUCUUAUUUUAUUUACUAUUUGUUAUUCUAUUAUAUUGCACUUGUUUGGGGUUUCAGUCUGAACAUCUAAAACCAAUGAGUGAUUCACAUGGUUUUACAGUUUAUGAGGUGUUCAACAAAGACUGCUGAAUAUUUUGUGUGGUUGUUCUUUAACAAGACGUAGACAUUGUGCUUCCAAAUUCUACUACUUUGUUUUGAAAAUGAAAAGUCUUGGUAGAAUUGUUUCUAUUUGUAAUAAGGAACUUGUUCAUACUAAUUGUGCAGGUAAGAGAAGAGAUGAAUUCAAGAAGCCAAACAUGGUUGUUUCUCUUAUCAGUUAUCUUCUUCUACUACUACUCUACUUCCCAAACUCAUUUUUGCUUUGCAGCUGAUACCAUUUCUUCAGGUCAGUCUCUCACUUUAAAUCAAACUCUGAUCUCUAAUAGUGGUACGUUUGAACUUGGAUACUUUACACCAGGUAAUUCUCGUAACUACUACAUAGGAAUCUGGUACAAGAAAGUUUCUGUCCAAAACAAAACUGUUGUUUGGGUUGCAAACAGAGACACUCCUCUUACUGAUUCAAAUUCCUCAGAAUUUAAGCUCUUAGAAAAUGGUAAUUUAGUUCUGUUAAACCUGUCAAAACUCGCAAUUUGGUCCACUGAGUCGAAAUCAAAUGUGAAUCUUUCAUAUGAAGGAGUGCUUGGGGAUGAUGGAAAUUUUGUUUUAAGAACUGGGGUUAGACCAUCUGAUGUUUUUUGGCAGAGUUUUGAUUACCCGACUGAUACAUUUUUGCCAGGUGCAAAAAUUGGAUAUAAUAGAAUAACCAACAAACAACUGUCACUUACUUCUUGGAAAAAUUCAAAUGAUCCUGCAAGGGGAUUAUAUUCACUGGAGCUCGACCGGUCUGUAGAUCAGUACUUUAUCCAAUCGAAUCUGAAUCGGUAUUGGAAUAGUGGGGAAUGGAAUGGACGAAGCUUCAGCUUAAUUCCUGAAAUGACAUUAAAUUCAAAUUUUAAUUUUAGCUUUGUCGAGAAUGAAAACGAGAGUUACUUCACCUCUAGUGCAGACACGACUUCUAGUACUCUUUCUAGACUUGUUAUGGAUUCUUCGGGGCAAUUCAACCAAUUUUCAUGGGUCGGAGACGCCCAAGCAUGGUUCUCGCUUUGGUCUCAACCAAGACAACAAUGUGAGGUUUACAGAUAUUGUGGCGAAUUUGGUAUAUGCCAGGAUAAUGCUUCUGUCUGUACUUGUUUAAAUGGUUUUCAACCACGAUCACCAAUAGAUUGGAAUUUGAAUGAUUUUUCUGGUGGAUGUAUGAGAAAAACAUCAUUGCAAUGUGGCGAUGAUGACAGGUUUCUGCAGGUGCACCUAGUAAUUGAGACUUCCAAUCAGCGGCUAAACUACGAUAUUGAAACUGCUGAUAAUUGCGAGCAAUCUUGCUUAAAUGACUGUUCUUGCAAUGCUUAUGCUUUUAACACUUCAUGUUUACUUUGGAAUGAAAGUUUAUUUAAUCUACAGCAAUUCCAAGAUAGUGAUGAUGGAAUUAGUAUCCAGCUUAGACUAGCAGCCUCUGAGAUCCCAAGUCCAGAAGGUGAGAACGGGGGAUUGAUUUAUGUAACACAUUUAUGUUCAUUAGUUCAUACUUUCAUUUGCAUUUGCACAGAUGUAUCUAAGAGAAUCCACUCCCAUAUAUCUGCUUUCUUGAUUUUGUCUAAAAAGCAUCUUCGAAACUUCAACACCGAACCCUUUAAUGCAUUUUGUUUCUGGUCUACAGGUAAAAAGACACUAAAGGCUUACAUCAUUGUACUCAUUGUUGGAUCAAUUUUAAUUGGGAUCUUGGGUUGCGGUUUGUUUGCUUAUAAAAUGAAACAAAGAGGUAUAUAGUUUGCUGAAUUAUUCAUUCAUUCCUAUUUUGUGUUGAUCUUUAUUAAUUUUUCUAAUGAUCUGAAAAAUUCAGGUAAAAUCAAAUAUAAAAGUAGAGAAACAUCACCACCAGUUUUUUCAAUAGAUCAGGAAUCAGAACAAGGCAAGUUAGAACUACCAUCAUUUGACCUCAGUACAAUUGCAGCGGCCACAAACAAUUUCUCAAAUAAGCUUGGGCAGGGAGGGUUUGGUUCUGUUUAUAAGGUAAUAUUCAAUUUCAAUCACCUUGGUUAAGUAUGGGUCUGAAAUGCUACAAUAUAUAACUUUCAAGUUAUGAAUAUGAAUAUAUUCUUUUUUAAUCAUUGCGUGACAGAAACUUUGGUUGCCUCAUAACGCAAUUGGACAACUUACAAGUGUGUCCAUCUACAACUUUCAAAUUCUAUAGAUGGUCCGUUUACUGUUAGCUCAGCUUAUAAACUCGAGGAACACAUUUGAGUCAAUGACACACACAAUCCCUCUGACAUUUACUGUGAAAGAUUGCAUGUUGUUAAUGAGAGUGGACAAUUAUAUGCAUCUAAGGCUUUGAAAAGUUAAAGCACUCUUUACAUAAUACACAGAACGAAAGAGGUGGUAGAGAUGCAAUGCUUCUCAUGUUCUUCAACUAUUCUAGUGGUUGCAAAACUUGAAGAGUUCUGCAUCCAGUUUGUAGUCCACACUAGGUGCCUCUGCCAUGAUAGCAAACCCUGAAGUAUACUUUAGCUGCUUUUUGUAAUUUUGUCGUUGACACAACUUUUUUUCCAGGGUAACCUGCAAGAUGAACGUGAGAUUGCAGUGAAAAGAUUAUCGAGAAGCUCCGGCCAAGGUGUAGAAGAAUUUAAGAAUGAGCUCAUGCUGAUAUCCAAACUUCAACACAGGAAUCUUGUUAGGCUUCUAGGUUACUGCAUCGAUAGAGAAGAGAAAAUUUUACUGUAUGAGUACAUGCCUAACAAAAGUUUGGAUGCCUUUCUCUUUGGUAUGUCUCAACAUUUGUGUUUUAUCUAUUAUUAUUAUUAUUAUUUAAAAAACACCAAUUUGGUAAGAAAUUAUCAACAUAAUUUGGAUCAUUCAUAUUUGAUUGACUAAUAAACUCAACAUGGAGCCAUUUCUUUCAUUAGUACUCCUAGCCAUAGUCCGUAUAGCUUAUAAAUUUUCACUUUGGAUGGCAUGCUAGUUGGUGUGGAAUGAAUCACCUUGCUGGUCAAUCAUCUUACUUGGUCUAGGUGCCUUUCUGUUCACCCUCAUGGACUAUUAAUCAAGAUAAUUAAGCGUUCCCAUUACAUAUUGUGUUAAAUAUUAGAUCAUUUGAGCCACAUGUUUGCAUCACUUAUUUUUUGUAGUGUAAUGUAAGCUAACUAAUUCAAACAAGUAUGAAAAUCAGAUCCUAACAGAAAAGUUCUGUUGGAUUGGAGUAAACGCUUCAACAUUAUUGAUGGUAUUGCACGAGGCCUUCUUUAUCUACACCGUGAUUCUCGACUCAAAGUGAUUCAUCGAGAUUUGAAGGCCAGUAACAUUCUUUUGGAUGAGGAUAUGAUUCCUAAAAUAUCAGACUUCGGAAUGGCAAGGAUUUUUGGUGGAAAGCAGACAUUGGCAAACACUAAUAGAGUUGUUGGGACAUAGUGAGUGCUUUUAGUAAUGAAUAUGGAUUAUAGUUAUUUUUGGCAUACACUAGGUUCAAGUAUGUGUUUAUAAUCAUUCCUCAAGAUGAGUAAUUUUUUUCACAAUUAUAAAUGUAGUGGAUACAUGUCACCUGAGUAUGCCAUGGAAGGGACAUUUUCUGAGAAAUCUGAUGUGUUCAGCUUUGGAGUCAUGCUCCUAGAGAUUGUGAGCAGUAAGAAGAAUAGCAACUUCUAUUUCCUUGAAGAAUCAUAUAAUCUCUUAGGCUAUGUAAGUACACACUUUUUGUACGUAGAAUUUGCAGUUUAAUACUAGCUUGUACAUUAGAUUAAAUAUUGGUAACGAUGUUUUGCAGGUAUGGCGAAAGUGGAAUGAGAAUAAGGUGUUGGAGAUAAUGGAUCCAACAUUGUCCGACUCAUAUAAUAUACAAGAAUUGAAGAGAUGCAUCCAUAUAGGUCUUCUCUGUGUGCAAGACCAUGUCCUUGAUAGGCCAACCAUGUCUACAAUAGUUUUCAUGCUUGGUAGUGAGGGAACUCUUCCUCUUCCUAAGCAACCUGCAUUUACUCUAGAAAGGGAGCAGUUGUCUGACAUUCUUGUUAAUAUCGCCGAUGCAGUAUCUAUAAAUUAUG
This 11437-nucleotide long non-coding RNA is filed under the name Aquilegia coerulea. RNAcentral's name for it is "long non-coding RNA (ACOE_LNC000239)". Lineage: Eukaryota; Viridiplantae; Streptophyta; Magnoliopsida; Ranunculales; Ranunculaceae. The record is from RNAcentral.